GCCAAUGGUAUUAUUUUAUGUAAAAAUUUGUUUCAAAAAAUUAAUAAAUACUGUUAAAUAAAUACAAAAUCAAAUAAAAUUACAUAAUAUAAAAGUUACAUUAUAUAAAAAUUAAAUGAGUUAACAACAACUAUAUGAUUAAAAAAGUCAGUUAUAAUUAAACUUUUAAUAAAAUGAUUUUUAAUUUUUUUAUAAACUUUUAUGUUAAACUCACCAAAUACUAAACUAAACACAACAAUUU
This 241-nucleotide long non-coding RNA is filed under the name Gossypium barbadense (sea-island cotton). RNAcentral's name for it is "long non-coding RNA (GBAR_LNC023280)". Lineage: Eukaryota; Viridiplantae; Streptophyta; Magnoliopsida; Malvales; Malvaceae. The record is from RNAcentral.